AGUGAACGCUGGCGGUAGGCCUAACACAUGCAAGUCGAACGGCAGCACAGUAAGAGCUUGCUCUUACGGGUGGCGAGUGGCGGACGGGUGAGGAAUACAUCGGAAUCUACUUUUUCGUGGGGGAUAACGUAGGGAAACUUACGCUAAUACCGCAUACGACCUACGGGUGAAAGCAGGGGAUCUUCGGACCUUGCGCGAUUGAAUGAGCCGAUGUCGGAUUAGCUAGUUGGCGGGGUAAAGGCCCACCAAGGCGACGAUCCGUAGCUGGUCUGAGAGGAUGAUAAGCCACCUUGGAACUGGGACACGGUCCAGACUCCUACGGGAGGCAGCAGUGGGGAAUAUUGGACAGUGGGCGCAAGCCUGGUCCAGCCAUCCCGCGUGUGUGAAGAAGGCCUUCGGGUUGUAAAGCCCUUUUGUUGGGAAAGAAAAGCAGCAGGUUAAUACCCCGCUGUUCUGACGGUACCCAAAGAAUAAGCACCGGCUAACUUCGUG
This 492-nucleotide ribosomal RNA is filed under the name uncultured bacterium. Its description in RNAcentral is "partial 16S ribosomal RNA". It matches the Rfam family "Bacterial small subunit ribosomal RNA", at positions 29 to 507 of the family's 1533-position model. The record is from RNAcentral.